Molecule: ribosomal RNA, 301 nt
Filed under: uncultured bacterium
Lineage: Bacteria
Description: partial 16S ribosomal RNA
Rfam family: Bacterial small subunit ribosomal RNA
Source: RNAcentral
CAGCAGCCGCGGGAAUACGAAGGGUGCAAGCGUUAAUCGGAAUUACUGGGCGUAAAGCGUGCGUAGGCGGUUUGUUAAGUCUGUUGUGAAAUCCCCGGGCUCAACCCGGGAAUGGCAGUGGAUACUGGCUCGCUAGAGUGUGUCAGAGGAUGGUGGAAUUCCCGGUGUAGCGGUGAAAUGCGUAGAGAUCGGGAGGAACAUCAGUGGCGAAGGCGGCCAUCUGGGACAACACUGACGCUGAGGCACGAAAGCGUGGGGAGCAAACAGGAUUAGAUACCCCUGUAGUCCCUGUCUCUUAUAC